RNAcentral lists this ribosomal RNA (497 nucleotides) under uncultured bacterium. RNAcentral's name for it is "partial 16S ribosomal RNA". It matches the Rfam family "Bacterial small subunit ribosomal RNA", at positions 28 to 507 of the family's 1533-position model. The record is from RNAcentral.
GACGAACGCUGGCGGCGUGCCUAAUACAUGCAAGUAGAACGCUGAAGAGAGGAGCUUGCUCUUCUUGGAUGAGUUGCGAACGGGUGAGUAACGCGUAGGUAACCUGCCUUGUAGCGGGGGAUAACUAUUGGAAACGAUAGCUAAUACCGCAUAACAAUAGGUGACACAUGUCAUUUAUUUGAAAGGGGCAAUUGCUCCACUACAAGAUGGACCUGCGUUGUAUUAGCUAGUAGGUGAGGUAACGGCUCACCUAGGCGACGAUACAUAGCCGACCUGAGAGGGUGAUCGGCCACACUGGGACUGAGACACGGCCCAGACUCCUACGGGAGGCAGCAGUAGGGAAUCUUCGGCAAUGGGGGCAACCCUGACCGAGCAACGCCGCGUGAGUGAAGAAGGUUUUCGGAUCGUAAAGCUCUGUUGUAAGUCAAGAACGAGUGUGAGAGCGGAAAGUUCACACUGUGACGGUAGCUUACCAGAAAGGGACGGCUAACUACGUG